Molecule: ribosomal RNA, 326 nt
Filed under: uncultured eukaryote
Lineage: Eukaryota
Description: partial 18S ribosomal RNA
Rfam family: Eukaryotic small subunit ribosomal RNA
Source: RNAcentral
CCCUUAGAUGUUCUGGGCCGCACGCGCGCUACACUGAUGAAUUCAACGAGCACUAACCUGUGCCGAAAGGUUCGGGUAAUCUUGUGAAAUUUCAUCGUGAUGGGGAUUGAUUAUUGCAAUUUUUAAUCAUAAACGAGGAAUGCCUAGUAAGCGUGAGUCAUCAGCUCACGUUGAUUACGUCCCUGCCCUUUGUACACACCGCCCGUCGCUCCUACCGAUUGAAUGUGCCAGUGAAAAGUUCGGAUUGGAGAUAGGGGACGGCAACGUAUCCUAUUUCCGAGAAAAUCUUUAAACUUUCCCAUUUAGAGGAAGGAGAAGUCGUAACA